This 253-nucleotide ribosomal RNA is filed under the name uncultured bacterium. Its description in RNAcentral is "partial 16S ribosomal RNA". It matches the Rfam family "Bacterial small subunit ribosomal RNA", at positions 524 to 776 of the family's 1533-position model. The record is from RNAcentral.
UACGUAGGUGGCAAGCGUUGUCCGGAUUUACUGGGCGUAAAGAGCGCGCAGGCGGUCGUUCAAGUCGCGUGUGAAAGCCCCGGGCUCAACCUGGGAAUUGCAUUCGAGACUGCAUUGCUGGAGUACGGAAGAGGAAGGCGGAAUUCCCGGUGUAGCGGUGAAAUGCGUAGAUAUCGGGAGGAACAUCAGUGGCGAAGGCGGCCUUCUGGUCCAGUACUGACACUCAAGUGCGAAAGCGUGGGGAGUAAGCAGG